This 771-nucleotide long non-coding RNA is filed under the name Taeniopygia guttata (zebra finch). RNAcentral's name for it is "lncRNA (ENSTGUG00000019263.1)". The record is from RNAcentral. Lineage: Eukaryota; Metazoa; Chordata; Aves; Passeriformes; Estrildidae.
GUCCAGCCUGGCAUCAGACUUUGCAGCUUGUUCUUUCACCCCUUGGAAAUGUUAAUUAGCUGUGGACUCACAAAAUACUUAAUAGAGGCCAGAGGGUGAAAACUUGGACAGCAGCACAGACUUGCUCUCAUCCUUCUUUUUGGCUUGAUUCUGUCAUGCUCUUAAAGGUUUGAGAACCACCAGGCAAUACAGCAGGAAGCUGUCUUGUAUUUACAUGUAAGAAUGUGAGCCUAAAGUCUGACCAGUGAUAUGUCAGCACCAGGAAUUAGUCAUAGACUUGUCUGGGAAAUUACAGCCAACUAGGAAAUAGAAACAACAACAAAAAAAAGACGUUUAUUUCUAGAAGGAUGUCAAAGGAAUUCAACAGGAAGUCUCCUUCAGUGGAAGAGGUUUUCCUCAGGUAACAGUUGCUGUGUUUGGACUCAUUAAGAAUUAAACAUAGAUAAAAAACCCAAUUCCUUCCACAUUGCUCUUCUCCCACCAGGCUUUUGAGUGAAGAUUGGAUGGGGUUUUGCCUGGUUUCUGAAGGGGCCAAGGAACACAAGUUGCUGUUUUUGCUUUGAAAUACAGGUGAACUUUUAGCCAGAGCUCCUGGUGCUGGUGGAAUCCUCAGGAGAGAUAAGGCUUUGCAUACCGCUCCUCGAUGGCCGUGGGGAAUGAGGAAAGGGAAAGAGUGGGAUGAGCAUCUCUGACUAAUCUGAAAGGAACACAACGGUCUUGUCUCUGAUCAAUUUACUAUAUUUAGCAUUAUGUAAGAACAGAUUUUCCCCA